UAGGGAAUCUUCCACAAUGGACGCAAGUCUGAUGGAGCAACGCCGCGUGAGUGAAGAAGGUUUUCGGACCGUAAAGCUCUGUUGUUGGUGAAGAAGGAUAGAGGUAGUAACUGGCCUUUAUUUGACGGUAAUCAACCAGAAAGUCACGGCUAACUACGUGCCAGCAGCCGCGGUAAUACGUAGGUGGCAAGCGUUGUCCGGAUUUAUUGGGCGUAAAGCGAGCGCAGGCGGAAGAAUAAGUCUGAUGUGAAAGCCCUCGGCUUAACCGAGGAAUUGCAUCGGAAACUGUUUUCUUGAGUGCAGAAGAGGAGAGUAGAACUCCAUGUGUAGCGGUGGAAUGCGUAGAUAUAUGGAAGAAUACCAGUGGCGAAGGCGGCUCUCUGGUCUGCAAACUGACGCUGAGGCUCGAAAAGCAUGGGUAGCGAACAGGAUUAG
Molecule: ribosomal RNA, 435 nt
Filed under: uncultured bacterium
Lineage: Bacteria
Description: partial 16S ribosomal RNA
Rfam family: Bacterial small subunit ribosomal RNA
Source: RNAcentral